RNAcentral lists this unclassified non-coding RNA (1305 nucleotides) under Hevea brasiliensis (rubber tree). The record is from RNAcentral. Lineage: Eukaryota; Viridiplantae; Streptophyta; Magnoliopsida; Malpighiales; Euphorbiaceae.
GUGUGAACAAUUUGCUACUACCUAAGAAAUUUAGAAGUGACACAAGUUAAAAACAAAAGUGUCAAAUCAUGUACAAAAUAAAAGUAAGAAAGCAGCCACCGUCAAAGAAAUGGUCCAUUUUGAUGCUCUACUUUGUAGACCAAUCCCCUUGUUAGAAGAAUUUUCAGACUCCAACAGAGAACUGAUUUUGAAAUUAGGGUUUGUCCCAUAAAGGGCCUGGACGCCCUCCGCGUCGUCAAUCUUGAGGUCCACUUUCACAGUUCUGGGACUUAAACUUGGAUACAUCACAGCUUCUUUCAGCGAAGAAUGAGCCAACCCAAGUACAUGUCCAAUCUCAUGGGUGGCCACCGAUUCCAAAUCAACGGCCACCCUUGACUUAACCGUCUCGAAAUCAACGCUCCACGUUUCAGCUGCAUCAAGAUGAAGCAUCCCGUUCUCUGGAGAGAAACCAUGCGCCAGUACCCCAAGCACUCCAUCGAACGGCUCUCCGUCCCCGUGAUCUCGGUGGUACCACCCGAUUCGAAUAUUCGCUGAUUGGUAAUCUUCCACUUCCGUGAAGUCAACUGGAAUAACUAAUGCCCAUCUUGAAAAAGCUCGCUUAAAAACCCUCUUUAUAUCCUCUAAACUUAUGUAAUCAAUAGUGUUAUUAGCUGAAAAGGCAUACGUUAGCGUCAUCGGUGACUCCUUUACCCACCUGGGCUUCCCGUAAAAAUACGCGAAAUGUCGGGUUACAUGCAAUUUAUCGCUUGUGUGAUCAUGGGCUGUGUCGCUAACACCGCAUCUUGGUGACAUGAUUGUUGAGAUGGUAUUCGAGUCAAGCUUCCCCGUCACAGCUAAACCCAGACUGGAUUGAUAGGCUUUAACUGCGGAUUCUAAUUCGGUAUCAAAUAUAUCGGUGAAAUUGUUGGUGCUGGGGAGGUACCCGAAACGGUACAGAUAUUUCUUGAGCUCUGACAUACCACUGACCUGACUGCCCUUCCCGGCGUCUAGGAAGCGACCGAAAUCAUGCCAGGUGACGUUGUGAUUGUCGGUGGCGUUGUGGGGAUCGGUGGUUAUGCCGGUUAUAGAGUCCGGUAUAAAUCUGGCGGGAAAGGAAGGGCGGGAAAGGCAGAGGAAGGAGAAGUAGAGGAAACUGAAAUAACUGAAAAACCGAAACAUAGCUCUGUUUUGUAGUGGUAGUUAUUUUGCGAUUUGAGCCCAGCGACAUAAAUUCAGGGGGCCGAAAGCAGAGGAUUUUUUUGCGGAGUUUGGAUUGACAAAAAUUGACAAUUAAAGCUGUGGAUUUUAUAAUCAAACAGUAAUUGA